UUAUUGCUUUUUGACAGUUGACUAAUAUUUUUUUCUUUUCAUUUAUGAUUUUAUUACUUUUCUUAUUUUCCCUUACAAUAUAACUGGUUGGUUAGGCAAGACUUAUUCACGUGGAAAGCGUUACGUGACUGUUUUGUAGGCAAUGGAACUUUCAGCAGGAGCUAAAUCCUGAAGCUAGUGGGAGUGCUUCAAAAGCAAGGACUGGAGCAUUUAGUCCAGUUUUCCAGGUGUGAAAAUUAUAUUAUAUGUAUGAAAAUCAGUGUCUACAUUACAUGAAUGAGCUCUAAACUGAAAAUGUAUAGAAUUACUUGGUGUAUGAAGGUGUGAGCUCCUACCUAAGACUCCUGGUGUCAGAAAAGUCCUUAGAAUUCUCCUAUCUCAGUUGAACUAAAUGCAAGUAGUUUUCCUACUUCUUAGCAGCUGGUCAGAGAGUGACAUUGUAAUCUCUAGUGAGAGGAGACUGUUUGUUUUUCUAGGUGCAUGGUGAGUGUCCAUGGCAACUGCUGAGGUCUGGGAAGGAAAAUAGAAUUAUACAGAGGGGAAAAGCAGGCAACAAUAAAGAGCCUUUGGGCCUCAUUUGAGAUGAACUACUUGGGUCACUGCCAAAGUUUUAGACUGUGCUUUAAGGAGGAACCCCAGAAGCUACCUUUGACUUCAGAUCCUGAAAAUGAAAUCAAGAACCUUCUGCAUCCAACAGAAAUGCAGUAAUAUGCUUUUAUUACCCUGUGUACAAUUGCAGAAUGAUUACAUCAGUUUUGUAUCAAUUUCUCAAAUGUAACUGUAUCGUGAAACAGCUUAUAAUGCUAGGCUAGCAUCUUUUCAUUUUCCAGGCUCUGUAUUAGCAUUUUAUAAAAUUCUUCAAGGGUGAAGAGUGUUGCUUUGAUCCCAUCUCUGCUCCUUUAACAGAGAUUGACCACAGCUCUAAGACAGCUUUUAGGUAGAUUUGUAGAUGGGGUCGCAUAGUUCAUGUGACAUAACAUAACACCAUUUUGAAUUACAUUCAAUAAAUGUAUUUUCCUGUCUUAAGUUGAGAGUAUGGAUAGAAUUUCAGGCAUAGGUAUUUGAAGGACAUAUCAGAGGGGCAAUAAGCCUUAGUAAUUUGAGCAUGGAAGCAAAAACCAAGGAUUUCUGCAUUAUAAUUUUGGCUUUGGCAUAAUUGCUCUGUGGUUGCAUGUCAUUGCCACAUCCCGUCAUGAGCAACAUCCUCAGCUGGGGCAAAUAGGCCCAGCUAAGUUUUACAGUAUAGUCCACACAGAACUGGCCUAAGGGAUAACUGCAGUUUCUACCCUUCCUUGAUUAUCCGGAAUGUUUGAAUCUCUAGUAAUACCGAAGACAUAGUUCUGCCUAGGCAGCUGGACAACAGGCUAGGCUUAGGGCUACAAUUUUAAGAGCUCCUCCCUAAAAAGCCCAUACCAAACAAAAGCAAACAUGGGAUUGCAUUUUAGCUUCUCAGCUAAUCUGAAAUUUCUGUCAAGUGGAGAGAAAAGCAUUUCCCCCCACAGCCAAAUUAAAAACUGCUUGUCAAAACACCUCCAGCCAGAGAUCAAUUUUGAACUUAGCUUAAAUUUUAAAAUGUUAGUUUAAAAUAUAUUUUUUUAAAAAAAUAUACAUCCCCUUUCCCCUGUCUCCCUCAUAGGGUUGAGAAAGGCAGGCCAGCAGGAAGAAUGUCUCACAUUAGCUCUAGAUAGGCCAAGGACCUAAAGCAAGCCGCCCCUGACAAAAUGCGUUUUUUAUAUAUGUGUGUGUUGAUAUAUAAUUAUGCCAUUUUAAUGG
Molecule: long non-coding RNA, 1773 nt
Organism: Dermochelys coriacea (leatherback sea turtle)
Lineage: Eukaryota; Metazoa; Chordata; Testudines; Dermochelyidae
Exons: 2
Source: RefSeq, a predicted model, not a curated record